ACCACAACGGCAGAACUGAGCAGUUGUGAUGGAGAUGAUAUGGCCCAUAAAGACAAAAAUAUUUGCAAUUUGGCCCUUAACUCAAAAUGUUGCCAACCCAUGAUCACUCAAUUAUUUAAGUGGUUGGAUAAGAGAGCCAAGUAAAAUAGAUGUCACUACAUUGUCGUUGCCCGAAGCAGUGCCCACCCACAAGUGUCUGUGGCCACAAGGCGUAACCAUGGCAUAAAACAACAUGGAGAGGACUGGCAAAAUCUAGUCUUCUGAGAAGGACAAGGCUUCCCCGGAUUUCUGUAGAUUAUUUUCAAACCCUGUUCCUCAAACCAUCCUCAAUCUGUAUGAAUAUCACAAACUUGUAGCUUUUCCCUUACAAAUUUAUUGUUAUUUCUUUUACCUCUUUCUUUCUUUCUUUUUUUUUUUUUUUUUUGUCCUCAGGAAAAAACGUAAUUAGGCUAUAAACAGAGGUCUGACAACUAAUUUCAGUCAAGGCAAAAUUAAUACAAAGCAAGCAGAUAAUUUUAGUCAUGUGAAAUUAAAAUAGAUAUAUUUUAAUGACAGUCUGAAAAAUCCCAGUCUGAUGUUUUGCCCUUUGCUUCCCCCACCUUCCCUCAUUCACAUGCGAUCCCCUACUCUGCCUAGUAGUGACACAUGCUGAUUCGGGGAACUACCACCUCACUGCUAUCGCUGUCCUCAAGGCUCCUUCCUCCCAUCCCCACUAUUGACCUCUGGGUGCAGAGCUGCUGCUUUCCUUUCCUUCUAGGGGUUCCUCUACACUGAAAAGACAGAACCAUCUGAGGAAAAGGGAGUCGUUUUCUACCCCUGGAAUUUCCAAAUUUUCUUAUGGACAUUAAUAAGAUCCAGUAAGAUAAAUCUAUAUUCAGCAUCUUAAGAAUUUAAAAGUUGGAGUUUCCGUCGUGGCUCAGCAGAAACGAAUCUGACUAGCAUCCAUGAGGACGCAGGUUCAAUUCCCUGGCCUCACUCAGUGAGUUAAGGAUCUGGUGUUGCCAUGAGCUGUGGUGUAGGUCGCAGACCCGGCUGGGAUCUGGCAUUGCUGUGGCUGUGGUGUAGGCCAGUGACUAGAGCUCCGAUUCAAUCCCUAGCCUGGGAACCUCUGUAUGCCGUGGGUAUGGCCCUAAAAAGACAAAAAGAAUUUUUUUUUUUUUAAGUUAGCAGCACCAUGGGUGUGGGUGGGCGUGCAUGCAUGUAUUUCUGGGGUAGGGGGGCUGGUUGCCAAUAUUGCUGUGUUCUGUCACUCCAAGAACAUAUUAAAUACACAUCUCAGUGUCAGCAGCACCUUGAGAUGUUACCUCCAAAAUUAUCACCUGCCUUCUGAAAACCAUAACCCUAAAAAUAUUGAUUGGUUAAAAGGCAGGAUCUGAAGGAAUGAGUUAGUGUCUCUGUAGAUUAUCCUAAUCAAAUAAGGAGAGUAUUAACCUCCCUACUCACUGAUCUGCCAGUAUUUGGUUUGAAAUGUAGGCAUCUCAAGUAAAGUUAUGUGUUUCAUUCUUUUGAAUAUUUCUCCCAGACAUUUAAAUACAUUACCACUAAGCCAGAACCAAGAAAAGCAUAAAAAGCAUUUUAAGGAAUAAAUUCAGCAAGUUUCCAUUUGUACCAGAUAGUAAAAUUGUUGACAUGCAUUAUGAGGCAUGUGUAUUUUUCAGCCUGUCGGGUUUCAGUCACACGCUCUGGGUGGAAUAUUUCGGCUGCCAGGGGUUGUGUAGAAAGGUCUCAGACCAUUUAGGGAGUAAUGCUUCCUAAUGAAUAGACAAAGAGUUUCCAAGCCACCUGGCCUAGCUAUCUAGGCAAGUCAGAAGAAAAGCUGAUUUCAUUAAUUAUGCUAUAAAUGUAACUUCAAUGAAGGGUAGCCAGCUAAAUACAAGAUGAAAGGACUAGUAGGGAUUCUCUGCAUCGAAGUGUUGAGCUUUAUGCAGUUUUAUUUAGAGGCACUUCCAUUUCUAAGGAGGCUAUGAGUUGAUCGACUGUGUCUGGAAUUAACUACAGUGGUGAAAACACAAAUUGCAAACCAGCGUGAAGUCACAAAGGGAAAGGAAGGAAGAGAAGUAAAAAGUCAGGGACUCAUACAUACUCUUCAUUUUCCUUUAGGAAAAAUAAGUACUGGACCAGCUGCCCUGAGUCCCACAUUAGUGGGAGCAAGCCUAAUUGUUGUUAGGCAGAGGGCCUAAUGAGAAGUGCUACACACACGGCCUUCCUUUCUAUUUCCAUUUGCUUCUGUUUGCAGAGCAGUCUGGAUUUUUCUUGGAGGCAAAUGAUUAUGUUCCCUCUACUUGAUGUGCUAGCAUGAAAUAUGGCUGGUAAGGAAAGGGAGGACCCAGGCUGGAGAGACUUUGGCCACAAAUUAUUUGCAUGGGCCAUUGAGGAAGGUUCCAAUGUAAUAUUGUUGGUAAUAGGGGGAAGAGGUGACAAGGGCUUGGAGCCUGUUUAACCACCAUCUCUGAAGCCUUUUGUAGGUACUCUUCUCUCCUCCCUCCCAGGGAAUCUUAAUCAGAGCAUUCUCAGUGCUGCCUUUGUCCUUUUCAAUGGAGAAGUCUAACACCGAUCCAAAGUAAGCUUUAAUCCUCACAAGAAAGUGAUAAUACGUUUCCCCCUUUUCCUGAUUUCUUGACUGAUUUUUCUCAAGAAAAAGAGAGUUUCCUCAUGAAAACAGUAAUCUCUACCUAUUGAAGGAUAAUUUUUCAUAUUCUGUUAUGUACAUCUUUGUGUUUUCUAUGGUGACAUUGGGAUAUAUUUGUUGACUAGACCAAUAAUUGUUAAAUAAACCAUGAAGAUAUUUAGCUUUUAUUUUUAUAUCCCUUUCAGUUUGUCAAGUGAUUCCACGGCUAUUAGCUCUUCUGCAGCUAGAAGUUAGACCUACAGGAGUUCCCACCGAGGUGCAGUGGAAACAAAUCCAACUAGGAACCAUGAGGUUGUGGGUUCAAUCCCUGAACUCAUUCAGUGGGUUAAGGAUCGGGCAUUGCCGUGAGCUGUGGUAUAGGUUGCAAAUGAGGCUCGGAUCCUGCAUUGCUGUGGCUGUGGUGUAGGCCAGCAGCUGUAGCUUGGAUUUGACCCCUAGCCUGGGAACCUCCAUAUGCCAC
RNAcentral lists this long non-coding RNA (3089 nucleotides) under Sus scrofa (pig). Its description in RNAcentral is "lncRNA (ENSSSCG00000058786.1)". The record is from RNAcentral. Lineage: Eukaryota; Metazoa; Chordata; Mammalia; Artiodactyla; Suidae.